Molecule: ribosomal RNA, 665 nt
Filed under: Daptonema normandicum
Lineage: Eukaryota; Metazoa; Nematoda; Chromadorea; Monhysterida; Xyalidae
Description: SSU rRNA
Rfam family: Eukaryotic small subunit ribosomal RNA
Source: RNAcentral
AUAGCUCAUUACAACAGCCGUUGUUUCUUGGAUCUCCGCAAUACUUGGAUAACUGAGGUAAUUCUUGAGCUAAUACACGCAAUCGAGCUCUGACCUUUGGGACGAGUGCAUUUAUUAGAACAAAACCAAUCGGUGCUUGCACUGUGGUUUGGUGAAUCUGAAUAACUGAGCAGAUCGCUUCGGUCUCGUACCGGCGAUGUAUCCUUCAAGUGUCUGCCUUAUCAACUUUCGAUGGUAGUUUAUGUGCCUACCAUGGUUGUAACGGGUAACGGAGAAUUAGGGUUCGAUUCCGGAGAGGGAGCCUGAGAAACGGCUACCACUUCUAAGGAAGGCAGCAGGCGCGCAAAUUACCCACUCUCGGCACGAGGAGGUAGUGACGAAAAAUAACGAGACGAUUCUCUUUUGAGUAUCGUCAUCGGAAUGAGAACAAUCCAAAUCCUUUAACGAGGACCUAGCGGAGGGCAAGUCUGGUGCCAGCAGCCGCGGUAAUUCCAGCUCCGCCAGUGUAUAUCUAUGCUGCUGCGGUUAAAAAGCUCGUAGUUGGAUCUGCGUGCCACGGUCAGGUCCGUCUGUUAGACGUGUACUUGCGCCGGGCACUGAAACGUUGGUUUUCUCUUGGUGGCCUUCACCGGUUGCCCUGAGUGACUAACAUGUUUACUUUGAAA